This 23-nucleotide non-coding RNA is filed under the name Arabidopsis thaliana (thale cress). The record is from RNAcentral. Lineage: Eukaryota; Viridiplantae; Streptophyta; Magnoliopsida; Brassicales; Brassicaceae.
GGCAAUAACAGGUCUGUGAUGCC